GAUGAACGCUAGCGGCAGGCUUAACACAUGCAAGUCGAGGGGUAUAUGCCUUCGGGCAUAGAGACCGGCGCACGGGUGCGUAACGCGUAUGCAAUCUGCCUUCCACAAAGGAAUAGCCCAGAGAAAUUUGGAUUAAUGCCUUAUAGCAUCACGAGAUGGCAUCAUCAUGUGAUUAAAGAUUUAUCGGUGGAAGAUGAGCAUGCGUCCCAUUAGCUAGUUGGAGUGGUAACGGCACACCAAGGCGAUGAUGGGUAGGGGUCCUGAGAGGGAGAUCCCCCACACUGGUACUGAGACACGGACCAGACUCCUACGGGAGGCAGCAGUGAGGAAUAUUGGUCAAUGGGCGCAAGCCUGAACCAGCCAUGCCGCGUGCAGGAUGAAGCAUCUAUGGUGUGUAAACUGCUUUUAUACAGGAAGAAACACUCCCUCGUGAGGGAGCUUGACGGUACUGUAGGAAUAAGGAUCGGCUAACUCCGUGCCAGCCGCCGCAGUAA
This 494-nucleotide ribosomal RNA is filed under the name uncultured bacterium. RNAcentral's name for it is "partial 16S ribosomal RNA". It matches the Rfam family "Bacterial small subunit ribosomal RNA", at positions 28 to 523 of the family's 1533-position model. The record is from RNAcentral.